RNAcentral lists this long non-coding RNA (1502 nucleotides) under Sus scrofa (pig). RNAcentral's name for it is "lncRNA (ENSSSCG00055007950.1)". Lineage: Eukaryota; Metazoa; Chordata; Mammalia; Artiodactyla; Suidae. The record is from RNAcentral.
ACUUGAAGUCAGUAGAAAUGAAUUUUCAAUCACGGAUAAUAGAUCAUGAUAUAACUCUGUGCCUCCCCCUCCACCCAUCUAAUAUAGUUGGCACAUUGCCUUGAAGACCUGUCAUGAAGAGAGGAAAAAAAGAUCCUCAUUCUUCCCUUAUCACCCCAUUCAUCAGUAAAUUUCAGUGUUCUUCCCAGCUUUCAUUCUUGCCGUCUUCUGUACUUCAGGAGGCUUAUUGCUUCUGACUGAUGAACAAGACAAGACAAUGACAUGCCAGAAACCAUUCCUGCGCCAGCUCUUACAAAGCUAGUUGAUAAUGUUCACUUUCAAAAGAAGUACCAAUUCUCCCUUCCCUGGAAUAAGUAGAGAUUGUGCUGCAGGUUGUUGGAGAGGAGUUAAGGAGUUAGAAGGAGUUGAGCAUCAGAGUACCAGUUGGAUCAGCCAGCUUCCAAGUUCCCUGUCUGCCCAGAAUAUUAGAGAUCAAGAAGCUGGGCUCUACACAACAUUGUAAAUCAAUUAUAGUGUAAUAAGGAAAAAUACAAUUGAAAGGCGAAGAAGAAGAAGAAGAAGGAGAAGAAGCUGGGCUCUUGAGUAAGACAGAUUCCCCCCUGUUUGGAUUUUGGCUCCACCAUAUACUAGCUGUGUGAUCAUGUGCAGGUGAGUGACCUCUCUGAGCCUUUGUUUCCUCGUUCAUAAGAGAGGUAACAGCAGUACAGACCUCAAAAGAUGUUGUGAGGAUUAAAGUGAUGGAUGUAAUAUCUGGCGCAUAACCACUCAACAAGUGCCUUACCUACUAUUAUGAAUCAAUGGGAAAGAAUGCACUAUAACUUCUUUUCUUUUUUCAAGAGGCGAUAACCAAGGUGUUAGUCUCCCAUUGUUCAAAUAGACACUUCUAAGAGCUCACCAAGUUCCUCGGAGGGCAGGGAAGUGAUUUUCUUGUUUUCAAAAUAGCUACUUCCACAGCCAACGCCCAGAUAUAUACACAACCCUUCAGUCUUUGCCGUGGACUCCAGACUUCUGCUUUGUUCAGGGGCCUGGGCGGAAUGGAGACAGGAAGAGGUGCUGAGACACGGAGGCCGAGGAGCUGGGGUCCAGGCUGGGUUAAGCGGGGAAGUGGCCCAUGAGUCACAGGCUGGAAAACUCCAGCAAGGCCCGGCUGGCUCCUGGGCUUCACACACUGGGAGACAUUUCCUGCUCUUUGCACUCUGCCGCCCCCCUCACUCAAGAGCUCCUCAAGACAAGGUCUUUAAGCGAAUUGUUAUAACCCAGGGGAAGGAGUGUUUCUAGUGUCCGCCAAGGCUAGGAAUCUCCCAAGCCUUAUGAAAAUUUGGUGUGAGGUAAGUUGGUGCUCUGGCCAAGGCCUAUUUUGCCAUUUUGGCAAAAGCAACAGGUGGUGUUGACUGGUUUCCUCAGGGGCUGGAGGGCUGGCUUGCGAGUGAAAAAGUCAACUGUUACUGUCAGAAAAUCCUUCCCCUGCACCCCUCUGGAAAGGGCAGAGGCUUCACUUUGAU